This is a long non-coding RNA of Acanthopagrus latus (yellowfin seabream), 203 nucleotides long. RefSeq lists it as uncharacterized. NCBI's taxonomy places the organism in Eukaryota, Metazoa, Chordata, Actinopteri, Spariformes, Sparidae. The transcript has 2 exons. The record is from RefSeq and is a predicted model, not a curated record.
AUCUAGCGUCUAUUUACGCCGCGGAUGGUUGUUUCAUAUCAGAAAUAACGACGGUGAUGGUGAUAAUGGAAAGAAACUCGGCUCAUCCAAGAGAACUUCGCCUUCGCCUUUGGCGUCAAGAGAGAUUUACAUCGGACAAAAAAAAAAGGAGAGAAAAAAGCACAGAAGCAAGAGCAGGAGUGACAAUACACAAAAAAAAGGAA